CCUACGGGGUGCACCAGUGGGGAAUAUUGCACAAUGGGCGCAAGCCUGAUGCAGCCAUGCCGCGUGUAUGAAGAAGGCCUUCGGGUUGUAAAGUACUUUCAGCGGGGAGGAAGGCGAUAAGGUUAAUAACCUUGUCGAUUGACGUUACCCGCAGAAGAAGCACCGGCUAACUCCGUGCCAGCAGCCGCGAUAAUACGGAGGGUGCAAGCGUUAAUCGGAAUUACUGGGCGUAAAGCGCACGCAGGCGGUCUGUCAAGUCGGAUGUGAAAUCCCCGGGCUCAACCUGGGAACUGCAUUUGAAACUGGCAGGCUGGAGUCUUGUAGAGGGGGGUAGAAUUCCAGGUGUAGCGGUGAAAUGCAUAGAGAUCUGGAGGAAUACCGGUGGCGAAGGCGGCCCCCUGGACAAUGACUGACGCUGAGGCGCGAAAGCGUGGGGAGCAAACAGGAUUAGAUACCCCGGUAGUC
RNAcentral lists this ribosomal RNA (465 nucleotides) under uncultured bacterium. RNAcentral describes it as "bacterial SSU rRNA". It matches the Rfam family "Bacterial small subunit ribosomal RNA", at positions 338 to 795 of the family's 1533-position model. The record is from RNAcentral.